AACAUCACAUCGACAUAGAAGUUAUUCUGUAGGCUCCAGGAUGCAGCGAUGGGCUGCGCUCCCAGCAUUGUUCUGCUCCAAGCUUUUCGCUCUGUGGUCCAGAGGAGCUGUCCACACAUUUGCAGAAGACGCCAGGAGGAACCAUCCCAUGAAAUCGUGCCUCUGGAAAGUGACGAGGAAAUGAUGAGCAGACCCAGAACCCUCAUAAUG
RNAcentral lists this long non-coding RNA (210 nucleotides) under Rattus norvegicus (Norway rat). Its description in RNAcentral is "long non-coding RNA NONRATT030222". Lineage: Eukaryota; Metazoa; Chordata; Mammalia; Rodentia; Muridae. The record is from RNAcentral.